This 354-nucleotide unclassified non-coding RNA is filed under the name Hevea brasiliensis (rubber tree). The record is from RNAcentral. Lineage: Eukaryota; Viridiplantae; Streptophyta; Magnoliopsida; Malpighiales; Euphorbiaceae.
CAUCAUCAGAUUGUUGAGGAGACUAGAUGACGGAACCCAGUUCGCUAUCUUCAUCGGUUUCCAUUGCACCUUCAGACUCUUCAUCACUGUCUUUGUCCUCGUACGCUACUGUUGGAACAGUCUCUUCUUCAGCCUCCUCCUCGGGGAUCGUAGCAAAGAGGUAAUCUAAGCUAGUCGAAAGUUGAAGAGCUGACCCGAAUGUUGAGAUUCUUGAUUCAAUAAGCUGGUACAAAGGGUUGAGCAUGAUCAAAGAUGAUUCUGGAGAUACGAUGAUGCUUGCAUGUUGACUAAGCAAACUUCUAAGCCAUGGCAGCACGCAGAUCAAUACCGCACCUCUUAACUGAAGCAUGGAUG